Non-coding RNA from Anas platyrhynchos (mallard), 3815 nucleotides. The record is from RefSeq and is a predicted model, not a curated record. Lineage: Eukaryota; Metazoa; Chordata; Aves; Anseriformes; Anatidae.
CACGCAGGGGAGCCCGGCUGUGGUGCUGAUCUGGGAAAAAGACGAAAAGAUAAAAUCGGGAAAAUUCUCCCGUUUCUCUUAAGCAUGAGCCGGGCUUGUGCACUACAGGGGAGGAGGCAGCCAAAUAAACUUCUGGCUUAAUCCUCCAUUUUAGUGUCUUGCCAGAAGGUGCUGUAUUGCCACGAGACCCAUACAGCAUCAGGAGCUUUCAGGCAAGCCGCCUGUCGGGGUUACUGGGCAAUGACUACAGGAUUUGGGUUUGGGGUGGUCCUGUGUGGAGCCAGGGCUUGGACUCAAUGAUCCUCGUGGGUCCCCUCCAACCGGGGAUAUUCUGUGAUUCUGUGACUGCUGAUAACAUAAUUUGGGUGAAGAAAGUUCUGUGCUGUCAUCUAUCGUGGUGUGUAGGAUGCCUCGUGCUUUGCCUUUCUGUGAAGAAGUCUCACAGAUGAAACAGAAAAGCAAAAGAAACGGCAGACAAAAUGAGUUUUGUGGUAUAAAGGGGCACCUCCUACAUGGCGGGAUGACCUGACACGUCUUGUUGGCUGUGAAUUUUACGGCAUUCCAACUCCUUUCAGGAAGGUAACAAAGGUAGAGGAGUCGCUCCACCUCAGCGACCUUUCGGUCUGCACAUGCCGGUGUGACACAGCUCGGUUAUUCCCUCAGUAUGAUCAGAGUUGCUGGCUCCUUAAUGAGAAGAAGUAGUUUCCACAUCCAUUACUUAAAUAUGUUUCUGUUAUGGCUUUGAAUCAGCAGCAUGUAAAAUAAGCUGUGGAGCAGCAUAAAUAGAUAUUGCAGCACUGCCGAAACAGGCAGCUGAAGCUGGGAGUUCCCCAUGGCUCCUGCACAUCCCUGCUGGCCGUGCCGCAGGGGUGCCUGUCCUGCUGGGACAAGGACCAAGGACCUGCUGGCAUCCUGCCGGCCUUGAUUCACUGGGUCAGUCCCUCGUAAUUUCCCUAGGCAUCAGGCGUUAUUUGAACUCACGUUUUUCCCUUUUUGCAGCUCCUGGAGGGUUAUGGUAUUCAAUGUAUUUUCAGCAGUGAAUAAUAGGGUGUUUUGUGUUAUGAGUGGCAGGAGGACAGCAAUCUUUUUAAACUGCAAGCAAACAGGAUAUAUGCUAAAUGUGAUUGUUAAAAGAUGACUGAUAAAAAAUAGCGUGUACAUAUUUGGAAAACCAGAGAGAAAAUGAAGUGAAUGAAACCAAACAAACCCAAGACUACCAGCAGGGCAAGAAUUGCAGCUACAGCUUGUCUCCACAAAUUUGAGUGGCUCACGCAGCAAGCUCAGCCCAGGAGCAAAGGUCACUCCCUCGGUACAGCCUCUUCAUGCUGCUGGAAAUAAAGUGCUUCUCUGCCAUCCUCUGCUGGAACCAUCAGCACCCAGGCUCUGCUCCGUUCACCAGAGACGUCUUCCAUGUGUGCAGUCCCCAACACCAGCAGUCGUGUGUUAGACAUUUGCAUCCAUAGGUCCCUCAAGUUUCGUGUGAAUAAAGUCUGGUGUGAAUCAAUAGCCUUCCAAUGGACAGCUGGCAAUGGAGAGGUGACAGGCUUUAUGGACCUUCUGCACGUCGUCGGGUUCAGAAGUAACUCUGCAUCCCACCGCAGUCACAGAACCGACAGCAGCGCUGCCUGCGGUGUGCCCAAGCCUUAAAAGCUGCCUGAGGUCCAGGAAAUCUGGAGAUAAAGCCAACUCACUUCCAUUACUUUAAACACAUUUGAACGAGUGGUAUCAGCAGCCCGGACAUCUGCAGCUAACCCACUUCUACACUUCUAAAGUCCUUCCACAAGGCAUCAAGACUUCAAGCUUUUGAAGUACAGCUGCAGAACAUGCUGCUCCUCCUCAGUGGCAGGAAGUAUAAAUUGUAUUGUUCUGAGAGGGAAAAAAUCAGAAGGUGAAAAGCCUGACUAGUGUUCUGCUGUGGGAUUUGGUUCUUUGUAUUGUUCCACUCCUACUGCCUACCCUCCUUAUGAUCAAUCUGUAUAAAACCUGACCUAGUCCUUUGAAAAAAUUGAGAUGCUUACCCAAAGUCCAGCAGCACACAGUCAGGAGCCUGCCUAAUACUUAGAUAAGGAACAUCAAUCAAGCAGAAUUUGGGCUCCUUGGAACAAGACAGACACUGACAUACUGGGCUGAGCACAGCAGAAGACUGCCAAGGUGAUUAAAGAGCUGGAGGUGACGAGGCUGGGUUUGCUCAGCCCUGAGGAGAAGGCUCUGGGAGGAGCUGUCUUCAACUGCCUCACGGGAGGGUGCAAAGGCAGAGCCAGACACUCCUUGGAAGUGUAGCAGCGGGAUGAGAGGCAGCAGACACAGACUGGAAUUUUGGGAAUGGCCAUAAAAUACAGGAAACAUUUUGUCACUACAGUUACGGUCAAACACCAGAACUGGGCGCCCAAAGAGGCUGUGAAUCUCCAUCCUUGGAAAUGGUCAAACUGAGCAAGAUGAUGGACCGGCUGGCCUCUGGAAGUCCCUUCCACCUUAAACUGUUGUACUAUUUAACAACUGCUCUUUUAUGCCAGUGACUCCCUCUAGUCAGUCACAUAAGCCAAACAUCAAAGAUUUUGUUUUGUUUCCAAAUUCACCUGCCGAUGCCUUAUUUAUUUUUUUUACAUUUUUAAUCUGUUAAAACACAGAAUACCGAUGUAAAUCACAAGAAGGACUUUUUAAAACGGAUGUGAUGAUUGAGUACGUUGCUUUUAGUACCAUUUUAUCUGGAUUUUAACACACCUGUACACUACAUGAGACGAUACCAGUAGCUGAACUUGAAGAUGCAAAGCGUAUACUCCGGCACACCAUUUUAUUAGGUUGACAAAUCUUUUUGUUAGCAGUCAGUCACUGAAAACAAUCUGUACACAUCUAAUCUAGACAACAAAAAUAGCUGUACAGCUUUAACGCGAUAUGCCCCCUUUAUAUAGCUCGUUAUGCUCUGGAGAGAUUCAUUGUUCAAGUUCCCACAAAAACAAUUUUCGGCUUUAACAUAUAUUAAAAGUAACAUUACAUUCUGCUCUCAAAAGUAGAAAAAAUAACACUUUAAAUAUAAACUGGCUCCUAAGCUUAGACCGAGGCCUGUCAGGAAGAGAAUUUUGCACUUAACAGACAGUGCCUCCAACAUCAAGAGCUCUUCAAAGUGCUUGGCAGAGCGUGUGAACAUUAUCCACGCUUACUACAUUAGGAAACUAAGGCACGGAGGUCAACUGCCUUGCUCACUGUCACACGGCGGGCGAGUGGCGGAAUGAACACAACUCGGGCUUUUCGGUUAUCCAAUGUAACCACCGCAUCCCACUGCCACUGUUCAAGUGCAAUGGCUGAAGCAUUUCUGAGGAGCGAAACUCUUAAAGCAUACAGUAAUGGAAGGGGCAAUCCGGAGCCAGGCAAAGGCCGCAAUAAUUUCAACCCAACCCAAACCAAUUUGGUAUUCAAGAAAUCAAAAUGCACUUAAGGGAACGGUCACACAGGAAGUGAUUCUUUAACCCGCAGAGAGAAAGCUCAUUAGACGUAAGACAUAUGGCAUGAUCUUUGCAAAAAGUACCGGUUAUUGGAAGCUUGACAGUAGCUCAGGUAAUGUGAAAUCCAUCAGAGAAGCUGUACUUUCAGGUCAGCAGAGACAUCAACACUGUUCUUCCACCAGCAAGGCACACUUCCCUGGAAAGUCACGUGGAAAUGCAAAUUGCAGGGCAAGUACCUGCUCAGUAGGCAUGGAUGUGUAAGAGGCACACACAAAAAAGUAUGAAUCGCUUGUGAGGUAUGGACUAGAGAAAUACCAACUGGCGAUAAUUAAAAUGUCUAAAAUAAAUAAUAUUAAGAAAACUGAAAGUCACCCA